AUAUGAGUCACCUGGGAUCUUGUUAGAAGGUGAAACUAAUUUAGUAGGACUAGGGCAGGAUCUGAGAGUUUGCUCUUCUAACAAGUUCUUAUGUGCUGCUGUU
RNAcentral lists this microRNA precursor (103 nucleotides) under Marmota monax (woodchuck). The record is from RNAcentral. Lineage: Eukaryota; Metazoa; Chordata; Mammalia; Rodentia; Sciuridae.